GGCGAGUGAAGCGGCAACAGCUCAAAUUUGAAAGCCUCGGCGUUGUAAUUUGAAGGCGCGCAGCAGGCAGCAGACAAGUGCCCCUGGAACGGGCCGCCUCAGAGGGUGACAGCCCCGUACCGCAGCCAGCUCUGCGCGCCGACGAGUCGAGUUGUUUGGGAAUGCAGCUCCAAGUGGGUGGUAAACUCCAUCUAAAGCUAAAUACCGGCGAGAGACCGAUAGCGAACAAGUACAGUGAUGGAAAGAUGAAAAGCACUUUGAAAAGAGAGUGAAACAGUACGUGAAAUUGUUGAAAGGGAAGGGUUGGCGCGCAGACACCGCAAGGGCCGGGGGAGAGUUGGUGCCGCAGGAGAAGCGGCGGAGUCGCUUCGGCCAUGCUCCGCUACACGCUGCGGCCGCCGACUGAGGACCGCU
RNAcentral lists this ribosomal RNA (414 nucleotides) under Metschnikowia sp. (in: budding yeasts & allies). RNAcentral's name for it is "LSU rRNA". It matches the Rfam family "Eukaryotic large subunit ribosomal RNA", at positions 88 to 530 of the family's 3401-position model. The record is from RNAcentral. Lineage: Eukaryota; Fungi; Ascomycota; Pichiomycetes; Serinales; Metschnikowiaceae.